AUGAACGCUGGCGGCGUGCCUAAUACCUGCCAGUCGCGCGAACAGACGAGGAGCUUGCUCCUCUGACGUUAGCGGCGGACGGGUGAGUAACCCGUGGAUAACCUACCUAUAAGACUGGGAUAACUUCGGGAAACCGGAGCUAAUACCGGAUAAUAUAUUGAACCGCAUGGUUCAAUAGUGAAAGACGGUUUUGCUGUCACUUAUAGAUGGAUCCGCGCCGCAUUAGCUAGUUGGUAAGGUAACGGCUUACCAAGGCAACGAUGCGUAGCCGACCUGAGAGGGUGAUCGGCCACACUGGAACUGAGACACGGUCCAGACUCCUACGGGAGGCAGCAGUAGGGAAUCUUCCGCAAUGGGCGAAAGCCUGACGGAGCAACGCCGCGUGAGUGAUGAAGGUCUUCGGAUCGUAAAACUCUGUUAUUAGGGAAGAACAAAUGUGUAAGUAACUAUGCACGUCUUGACGGUACCUAAUCAGAAAGCCACGGCUAACUACGUG
RNAcentral lists this ribosomal RNA (496 nucleotides) under uncultured bacterium. Its description in RNAcentral is "partial 16S ribosomal RNA". It matches the Rfam family "Bacterial small subunit ribosomal RNA", at positions 29 to 507 of the family's 1533-position model. The record is from RNAcentral.